This 4477-nucleotide long non-coding RNA is filed under the name Homo sapiens (human). RNAcentral's name for it is "HSALNT0179659". The record is from RNAcentral. Lineage: Eukaryota; Metazoa; Chordata; Mammalia; Primates; Hominidae.
UAUGUAACUCAUUUUAUUUAUAUCUGGCAGGCAUUGAAACAUUGUGCUCCUAAGAACAGACUUGAGGCUUUUUUUUUUUUUUUUACCUCUGUUGACACAACAAGAAAAGACCAGAUUUUUAACCCUGUAAACUGUAUGUUAGUAAAUAGAAACAUAGACCUGACCCUACUACUCCCAUUGCCAGGGCAAAGUGUGAACCCUUAGCAUAGUGUAUAGGGUUUCUUAUUAUUUGACAGCCAUCAAUGUAUAUUGUAUUUUCUGCAACCACUAUAUACCAUGAAUAUAACCUGUCUAAUACAUAAAAAAUUCCAUUUUCCCCAGAAUGUACCAUGUUUUCUUUUACUAUCUCUUUACUUCUGUUGUUCACCCUAUCUGCAGUGACAUAACUCUACCUUGCUUUUUUCCUGACUAGAAGACAACUGUCACACUUCAAAACCAAAGUUAAUUUCUACUUUUCCUCCACGAAAAUUGUCUAGUCUUCCCCAAAUUCAAUAUUCCCUAUUCUGGGCUUCCAAAUCAUUUUGUGUAGAACUAUAUAGUAGGCAAAGAUUUUCUUUUUGUUAUUUGGGUUUUAGAAAUAACUACUCUAAUUAUCAUCCUUACUAAACAACCAGCUAUUAUGUACCUUUGUAUACUUAUCCAUACUUGUUGAACCAUUAAUAAUGUGCCAUGUGAUUUACUAAGCAUGUUACAUGCUGAAUCUCCAGCCCCUACAGUAAUCCAGUGAAUUUGGUAUCAUUUUCCAUUUCACAGAUGCAACAACUGAAGCUCAAAGGAUUGAAAUGACCUUUUGGCUUAAAAAACUAACUUUCUGUAUUAGUCAGGGUUCCCCAGAGAAACAGAACCAAUAGAAAUAUAUAGAUAUACAAAAAAGGCAUUAAUUAUUAGAGACUGUCUACAAAAUUAUGGAGACUGAGACGUCUCACAAUCUGCAGUCUGGGGUGGUGGUGGGUAGGGGUGGCUUGCGUUGUAAGUUGAUCCAGGACCAUAGUCCAGGACCAUUUAUGUCCAGGGAUAGGAGAAUAUGAGAUGGUUGUCCCAGCUCAAGAAAAGGGAGGAAAGAGGGUAAAUUUGCCCUGCCUCUGCCUUUUUUGUUUUAUUCAAGUCCUCAACAAAUUAGAUGAUGCCUCCCCAAAUUGGUGAGGAAGAUCUUUACUGAGUCCACUGAUUCAAAUGUUAAUGUCUUCUGGAAACAGCCUCAAAGACACACCUAGAGAUAUUGUUUUAGCAGCUAUGUGGUCAUCUCUUAGCCCAGCCAAGUAGACACAUAAACUUAAUCAUCACUGUUUCUCAGGUAGAAGGAGAUGUUACACAGAGAAAGAUUCUUCCAAUUAGGGCUUCUUAAUCUCUACCAAGCCAUCCUCUUUAGUUAUAAUAUUUCUGGUCAUAUUUCUGACUAUCUGAUCAUAUUUCAACAUAACAUGAGAGACACACUAGGACACAGCAUUAGAACACAUGAUGUAAUGUAUGCAACAGUGUUUGGAUAGUGUUAUCUAGUAGGGGAGCUAUAAAUAAUAGUACCUUUUCUUUCUUUGCAGGUGUCCUCCCUGAGCAUGAACUGGAAUGACCAGUAUAGCCUACUUUGGUUAUAGGUAACAACAACAGCAACAACAACAAACAACAACAAAAACACACACAGGCCCAUAUUAUAUAUUCACUACAAAAAGGACCAUAUUAUAUAUUCAUCUACAAAAUGUGUGCCCUACACUUGUAGGGACAAAAAAUCCCCACCCUACCUGACUCCAUCCCUAAUUAUGAAAAGACAUAUGCUUCAAGAAACAAGAUCUAUGGCAAACUUUUUUUUUUUAAUCCCUUGGCUACAUGACUAAGACCUGUUCACCUUCCUCCUCGAUGAGUAGCUUGAAAGGUCCUGGCAAAAUCAUACAGCCUCCUCUGUUAAGUGGAGCCGACUCCUGAAAGAGCACUCCUUAUAAAUUGUCUUGUCCAUAUGUUUCUGGAGGAUGUGCCAUCUGGGAUUAGAGUGCUCAUAUUUUAUGAAGCAGGAAACCAAAAAUAUGUUCACAAUUUAACAGUCUCAAUUUGAUGAGAAAGUGGAGUUGAAUUUACAACAAAUUUAUACCAUCUCAAUAUGUGAACCCACUGUGUGCCAGACAUCAUAUUAAGCACUCUUUUGAGUGGAAAUUAAUUAAGAGACAAUUGUUUUGGCUUUUGAGAAAUGGACAAUUCAAAGAAAGACUUAGAGUGAACCUGGCUCUGUUCAACCUGCCAGUAGCAUACAAAAAAUAAAUUUAUAACAAAAUAUCCUAAAAACAGAUUUCAUCACCCAUGCUAGUCCAGUGGAUUUGUAGCAGAUGUCUGCAUCGUUACACUGGAAAAGAAUCUGAGGUUUGAGAAAAAGGGGUGUCAUUACAACGUCUGCCAAGAGCAGGCACAUGUGGUGGCAAAUAUGCCCUAGUCUUGUCUUCUUCGUUGGAACUGAAAGAAGAAAUGGCCAUGCUAGAGCAUUAUUUACAAGUAAUGAUGCUUACUUCAUCCAGCUUUAUUAAUUUAAAAACAUGCGUGAAGAACCAACUAAAUGCCAAAUACCAUAGAGUAAAAAUGACCAGGACCCGGUUCUUGCCCUCAGUGUGCUUGUCAGGACUCCCUCCUCUACCCUUUCUUAGCAUCUUUACGUAUUACAUCCUAUGGUGGCACUUAUAAUACUAUGUAAUUUCUUAUUUACUUGGUCAUAUUAUUCUCAUUAGUGUGUUCAGACUACAAGUCUCAACCCAUUGUUAGAUCAUUAAAUUAAAAGCAGUAGGUUGUGACAGUCAUUCUUCUGGUUAUAAUUAACAGAAUGGAAUAAAAAUAGAAUGAAAUGGAAUAGAAAGUAUUAGAGUGCUUCACACAUAUAUGUAUUAUAUUCAUGUAUGUACAUACCUAUACAUAUAUAUGACUGCAUAGGCUGGACUUAAUAUAAAUUGUAUUUGUCAAAUUGUAUCAUAAUUAGAACACUCGAAAGCCACCAAUUUAUCUAAAAUGUUUAAAACAAGAGUGUAAAAUAUAUUUCAAAAACAGAAGAAAUGUGGAUUAACAAUGAUAGUAAUAAUAAACACAUAGAGUGUAAAUAUGCUAUUUAAACAUAUGUAGUUUAAAUAUGCUUUUUGUAGGUGUAGCUCUAGAAUUUAUAUCCUUAUCCAUUAGAGAAAGAGGAACUGACAGCAGCUCUUCCGGUACUACCGAUCUGCCUGCAUUUCCCCACUACCAGCUCCCACUCUACCUGCAUGUACCUCCAUCAUGUCACUCAUUAGAGUGUGUCCAGUUCAUUAGCUUGCCUAUGUGUCUUGCUAUUAGACUGAGGGCACCUGAAUGCCAGAGACUGUUUUAACUGUUUUCUAAAAUGAGGCAGAAAGCUCUGAUCUGAAUGUUUGUGUCCCUCCAAAAUUUAACCCCUAUUAUGGUGGUAUUAAGAGGUGGGGCAUUUUAGUAUGUGAUUAAAUCAUGAGGGCUCCACCCUCAUAAAUGAGAUUAAUGCCCUUAUAAAAGAGGCUUCCGAGAACCACCUGGCCCUUCCACCUCCUCUACCAGGUCAGGACACAGCAUUUGUCCCUCUUUGUACUCUUCUGUCAUGUGAGAAUGCAGCAAGAAAAUGUCAUCUUGGGAGCAGAGAGCAUUCAACAGACAUCAAAUUUGCUGGCAACUUGAUCUUAGAUAUCUCAGCUUCCAGAACUGUGAGAAAUACAUUUCUGUUCUUUAUAAGUUGCUUAGUCCCAGCUAUUUUCUUAUAGCAGCACAGACUAAGAUUAAUAAUAAUUAUUAUAUAAUAGACACAUAUGUAGGUUUGAGGACAUGCUAUUCUUUAGUCUGGCUCCAGAAUAGAUAUCUUUAUCCAUUAAAGAAAGAGGAUUGACACCAGUUCUUCUGGGUUGACAGAUCUGCCUACUGCUAGAUCUGCCUACAUUUCCCAACCACCAACUACUUUACCCUGCCUGUGCUGCCAGCACAUCGCUCUUCAUAGUGUGUCCAGUUUGUCAGUCUGUCUGCACUUCCCCAUUAGACUGAGGGCACUUGAAGAGCAGAUAAUGCCUUGGCCAUUUUUGAAUGCCCAGAAUUUAGCUUAAAGACAGGCAUCUGGUAGGUGCUCGCUGAAUGUGUGUUGACACACACAGGCAGAUAUCUCCAAAAAGAAGUAAUCUUCUCAGGAAUGUGGUGACAGUGAUGUUGCAGUCAGUAUUAGAUUUAUUGUGGCCAAAAUGCCAUUGGCGUUCUAUAAUCCCUGGACUCUGUAGAACUUAUAGCCAACCUUUGUCUUCUGAAGUUUCUGGUCUUCAUUCUCCCAUUUCUCAUUCUCACUCUCAUAUAAUGAUUCUGAUUUUCACACAGUUUCGCAUUGCUGGGGAGGCCUCAGUAAACUUAUAGUCAUAAUGGAAGGAGAAGCAAGCACCGUCUUCACAGGGCUGCAAGAGAAAGAGUGUAUGCAAAAGCAAGGAAAACCGCCAUAUAAAACCAUCUGAUCUUAUGAGAACUCACUCACUAU